UGGGGAAUUUUGGGACAAUGGGGGGAAACCCUGAUCCAGCCAUCCCGCGUGUGCGAUGAAGGCCCUCGGGUUGUAAAGCACUUUUGGCAGGAAAGAAACGUCGCGGGUUAAUACCCCGCGAAACUGACGGUACCUGCAGAAUAAGCACCGGCUAACUACGUGCCAGCAGCCGCGGUAAUACGUAGGGUGCAAGCGUUAAUCGGAAUUACUGGGCGUAAAGCGUGCGCAGGCGGUUCGGAAAGAAAGAUGUGAAAUCCCAGAGCUUAACUUUGGAACUGCAUUUUUAACUACCGGGCUAGAGUGUGUCAGAGGGAGGGUGGAAGUUCCGCGUGUAGCAGUGAAAUGCGUAGAUAUGCGGAGGAACACCGAUGGCGAAGGCAGCCUCCUGGGAUAACACUGACGCUCAUGCACGAAAGCGUGGGGAGCAAACAGGAUUAGAUACCCUGGUAGUCCACGCCCUAAACGAUGUCAACUAGCUGUUGGGGCUUCGGGCCUUGGUAGCGCAGCUAACGCGUGAAGUUGACCGCCUGGGGAGUACGGUC
Molecule: ribosomal RNA, 542 nt
Filed under: uncultured bacterium
Lineage: Bacteria
Description: partial 16S ribosomal RNA
Rfam family: Bacterial small subunit ribosomal RNA
Source: RNAcentral